RNAcentral lists this ribosomal RNA (468 nucleotides) under uncultured bacterium. RNAcentral describes it as "partial 16S ribosomal RNA". It matches the Rfam family "Bacterial small subunit ribosomal RNA", at positions 28 to 507 of the family's 1533-position model. The record is from RNAcentral.
GACGAACGCUGGCGGCGUGCUUAACACAUGCAAGUCGAACGGAAAGGCCCUGCUUUUGUGGGGUGCUCGAGUGGCGAACGGGUGAGUAACACGUGAGUAACCUGCCCUUGACUUUGGGAUAACUUCAGGAAACUGGGGCUAAUACCGGAUAGGAGCUCCUGCUGCAUGGUGGGGGUUGGAAAGUUUCGGCGGUUGGGGAUGGACUCGCGGCUUAUCAGCUUGUUGGUGGGGUAGUGGCUUACCAAGGCUUUGACGGGUAGCCGGCCUGGGAGGGUGACCGGCCACAUUGGGCCUGAGGUACGGCCCAGACUCCUACGGGAGGCAGCAGUGGAGAAUAUUGCACAAUGGGCGGAAGCCUGAUGCAGCAACGUCGCGUGCGGGAUGACGGCCUUCGGGUUGUAAACCGCUUUCGCCUGUGACGAAGCGUGAGUGACGGUAAUGGGUAAAGAAGCACCGGCUAACUACGUG